AUUGAACGCUGGCGGCAGGCCUAACACAUGCAAGUCGAGCGAGCGGCGGACGGGUGAGUAAUGUAUGGGGACUGCCCGAUAGAGGGGGAUAACUUCUGGAAACGGUGGCUCAUACCGCAUACUUUCGUAUAACCCAUAUGGGAUUAGCUAUUAGGUAAGGUAAUGGCUUACCUAUGCGACGAUCCCUAGCUGGUCUGAGAGGAUGAUCAGCCACAAUGGGACUGAGACACGGCCCAGACGCCUACGGAGGCAGCAGUGGGGAAUAUUGGACAAAGGGGGCAAGCCUGAUACAGCCAUGCCGCGUGUAUGAAGAAGGCCCUAGGGUUGUAAAGUACUUUCAGUCGGGAGGCGUUACCGACAGAAGAAGCACCGGCUAACUCCGUGCCAGCAGCCGCGGUAAUUC
RNAcentral lists this ribosomal RNA (403 nucleotides) under uncultured bacterium. Its description in RNAcentral is "partial 16S ribosomal RNA". It matches the Rfam family "Bacterial small subunit ribosomal RNA", at positions 30 to 526 of the family's 1533-position model. The record is from RNAcentral.